GUGAAGAUGCAGUGUACCCGCGGCAAGACGGAAAGACCCCGUGAACCUUUACUAUAGCUUGACACUGAACAUUGAGCCUUGAUGUGUAGGAUAGGUGGGAGGCUUUGAAGCGUGGACGCCAGUCUGCGUGGAGCCGACCUUGAAAUACCACCCUUUAAUGUUUGAUGUUCUAACGUGGAUCCGUAAUCCGGGUUGCGGACAGUGUCUGGUGGGUAGUUUGACUGGGGCGGUCUCCUCCUAAAGAGUAACGGAGGAGCACGAAGGUUGGCUAAUCCUGGUCGGACAUCAGGAGGUUAGUGCAAUGGCAUAAGCCAGCUUGACUGCGAGCGUGACGGCGCGAGCAGGUGCGAAAGCAGGUCAUAGUGAUCCGGUGGUUCUGAAUGGAAGGGCCAUCGCUCAACGGAUAAAAGGUACUCCGGGGAUAACAGGCUGAUACCGCCCAAGAGUUCAUAUCGACGGCGGUGUUUGGCACCUCGAUGUCGGCUCAUCACAUCCUGGGGCUGAAGUAGGUCCCAAGGGUAUGGCUGUUCGCCAUUUAAAGUGGUACGCGAGCUGGGUUUAGAACGUCGUGAGACAGUUCGGUCCCUAUCUGCCGUGGGCGCUGGAGAACUGAGGGGGGCUGCUCCUAGUACGAGAGGACCGGAGUGGACGCAUCACUGGUGUUCGGGUUGUCAUGCCAAUGGCACUGCCCGGUAGCUAAAUGCGGAAGAGAUAAGUGCUGAAAGCAUCUAAGCACGAAACUUGCCCCGAG
RNAcentral lists this ribosomal RNA (751 nucleotides) under Salmonella enterica subsp. enterica serovar Infantis. Its description in RNAcentral is "partial 23S ribosomal RNA". It matches the Rfam family "Bacterial large subunit ribosomal RNA", at positions 2053 to 2803 of the family's 2925-position model. The record is from RNAcentral. Lineage: Bacteria; Pseudomonadati; Pseudomonadota; Gammaproteobacteria; Enterobacterales; Enterobacteriaceae.